RNAcentral lists this transfer RNA (62 nucleotides) under Cipangopaludina chinensis. Its description in RNAcentral is "tRNA-His". It matches the Rfam family "tRNA". Rfam says of the family: Transfer RNA (tRNA) molecules are approximately 80 nucleotides in length. Their secondary structure includes four short double-helical elements and three loops (D, anti-codon, and T loops). Lineage: Eukaryota; Metazoa; Mollusca; Gastropoda; Architaenioglossa; Viviparidae. The record is from RNAcentral.
ACUAAAUUAGUUUAAGUAGAAUAUUAGAUUGUGGUUCUAAUGGUAAAGUUUUUUAUUUAGUG